RNAcentral lists this ribosomal RNA (510 nucleotides) under uncultured bacterium. Its description in RNAcentral is "partial 16S ribosomal RNA". It matches the Rfam family "Bacterial small subunit ribosomal RNA", at positions 28 to 507 of the family's 1533-position model. The record is from RNAcentral.
GACGAACGCUGGCGGCGUGCUUAACACAUGCAAGUCGAACGAAGAGCGAUGGAAGCUUGCUUCUAUCAAUCUUAGUGGCGAACGGGUGAGUAACGCGUAAUCAACCUGCCCUUCAGAGGGGGACAACAGUUGGAAACGACUGCUAAUACCGCAUACGAUCUAACCUCGGCAUCGAGGAUAGAUGAAAGGUGGCCUCUACAUGUAAGCUAUCACUGAAGGAGGGGAUUGCGUCUGAUUAGCUAGUUGGAGGGGUAACGGCCCACCAAGGCGAUGAUCAGUAGCCGGUCUGAGAGGAUGAACGGCCACAUUGGGACUGAGACACGGCCCAGACUCCUACGGGAGGCAGCAGUGGGGAAUCUUCCGCAAUGGACGAAAGUCUGACGGAGCCACGCCGCGUGAGUGAUGACGGCCUUCGGGUUGUAAAGCUCUGUUAAUCGGGACGAAAGGCCUUCUUGCGAAUAGUGAGAAGGAUUGACGGUACCGGAAUAGAAAGCCACGGCUAACUACGUG